Syngnathoides biaculeatus (alligator pipefish) is the source of this 1081-nucleotide long non-coding RNA. RefSeq lists it as uncharacterized. The transcript is spliced from 2 exons. The record is from RefSeq and is a predicted model, not a curated record. Lineage: Eukaryota; Metazoa; Chordata; Actinopteri; Syngnathiformes; Syngnathidae.
GUCGCGUUUCACAGAAUUUUGUGAGACGUUACCCCCAAAAGACUUCCGGUUUGGAUGGAGACCUUUAAAUUCCUAUACAUCUACCCAGAUCUUCAAUAGAUAUGAAGAGUAUUACUAUCAGCUUUAUUUUUUUUAAUUGUGAACUAUUUUACAGGAUACAUGUAGAUAUUUCAUAGAAAGCUUUUGUUUGAAAUAAAAAAAAAAUGUCGACGUCGAGUCUAAUGCGUUAUUUUGCGGAAACUAUUACGCAUGCGUCAAACUAAACGGAUGUCACAGGAAACGUCAAUAUUUGACAUAUCAAGUUGGCACAUUGAAAGACAGUAGAUGUGUAUCCAUCCAACCAUCUGGUAUCUCGUACCAACACAUAUAACACAAAAAACACACCGCCCAUACACACUAGCACCAAAUAACAAAACUAAAUACACACAAAUUCACCAUGGUGACACAACAAACCCAUGCCUAAACUUGUAAACCAAUAUAGAAACAAACACGAAUACCAAACAGACGCACACGACACAAACAAAUUCAAACCAAACAGACCAGAGCACAAAAGUCUUUUCGUCACCCUUCUCCACCCCGCAGGGGAAAAUGAAGGCGGACCGCAACCGUGCCCGCGUGGAGAACUUUCUUAAGCAGACCCCCACUCAGCGCCGGGAGGCCGCACAGACCCGCCGAGAAGGAAAGGAUCAUGAACGAGGAGGACCCCGAGAGACAGCGCCGCCUCGAGGAAGCGGCUCAGAGACGAGAGCAGAAGAAGAUCGAGAAGAAGCAGAUGAAGAUGAAGCAGAUCAAAGUGAAAGCUAUGUGAAGUCCGUCCGUCACCCUCAACGGCCACGUGUCGCAAAGGACAUUUUUGUCAGGGUCUUAUCAGCAGCACACCUCAGUGCAUCAUGUUUUUGUCUCAGUAUUCUCUACCUGCUUGUAGAUUUAAAAUAUCACGGGCCUCCAUUGAUUUGUAACCAUAGCAUUAAUAUAAUCUUCAGUAACAUUUGAAUUUAUAUCUGCUGUGAGGUUGCAUUCCUGCAGGUUAUUUCUCAUGAAUUUCUGAGCAAAAGUCAAUAAUAAAGUGCACUGGAGUCUG